This 518-nucleotide ribosomal RNA is filed under the name uncultured soil bacterium. RNAcentral's name for it is "bacterial SSU rRNA". It matches the Rfam family "Bacterial small subunit ribosomal RNA", at positions 26 to 523 of the family's 1533-position model. The record is from RNAcentral.
AGGACGAACGCUGGCGGCGUGCUUAACACAUGCAAGUCAAGGGGGAGUCGCAAGACUCAACCGGCGAACGGGUGCGUAACACGUGAGCGACCUACCUAAUUGUGGGGGAUAGCCGGCCCAACGGCCGGGUAAUACCGCAUACGAUCGGAGAGGGGCAUCCCUUUCUGAGGAAAGCCUUCGGGCGCAAUUUGAGGGGCUCGCGGCCUAUCAGCUAGUUGGCGGGGUAACGGCCCACCAAGGCGACGACGGGUAGCUGGUCUGAGAGGAUGGCCAGCCACAUUGGGACUGAGAUACGGCCCAGACUCCUACGGGAGGCAGCAGUGGGGAAUAUGCGCAAUGCCGAAAGGCUGACGCAGCGACGCCGCGUGCGGGAUGACGCCCUUCGGGUGUAAACCGGCUGUUGCCCGGGACGAAGUGGCGAUAUAAAUCCGGUUUGACGGUACCGGUGAGGAAGCGACCGGCUAACUCCGUGCCCGAGCGACGCCGACGUACUGUAGACGGCGCGUCGACGACGGCGA